CAAGUCUGGUGCCAGCAGCCGCGGUAAUUCCAGCUCCAAUAGCGUAUAUUAAAGUUGUUGCAGUUAAAAAGCUCGUAGUUGGAUUUCUGUUAAUAAUUUAUAUAAAAUAUUUUGAUGAAUAUUUAUAUAACAUUAACAUAAUUCAUAUUACUAUUUUUUUUAGUAUAUGAAAUUUUACUUUGAGAAAAUUAGAGUGCUUAAAGCAGGCAUAUGCCUUGAAUACUCCAGCAUGGAAUAAUAUUAAAGAUUUUUAUCUUUCUUAUUGGUUCUAAGAUAAGAAUAAUGAUUAAUAGGGACAGUUGGGGGCAUUUGUAUUUAACAGUCAGAGGUGAAAUUCUUAGAUUUGUUAAAGACAGACUAAUGCGAAAGCAUUUGCCAAGGAUGUUUUCAUUAAUCAAGAACGAAAGUUAGGGGAUCGAAGACGAUCAGUUACCGUCGUAGUCUUAACCAUAAACUAUGCCAACUAGAGAUUGGAGGUUGUUCCUUA
RNAcentral lists this ribosomal RNA (487 nucleotides) under Cryptosporidium parvum. RNAcentral describes it as "SSU rRNA". It matches the Rfam family "Eukaryotic small subunit ribosomal RNA", at positions 556 to 1069 of the family's 1831-position model. The record is from RNAcentral. Lineage: Eukaryota; Apicomplexa; Conoidasida; Eucoccidiorida; Cryptosporidiidae.